This 277-nucleotide ribosomal RNA is filed under the name Bacillus licheniformis. RNAcentral describes it as "partial 16S ribosomal RNA". It matches the Rfam family "Bacterial small subunit ribosomal RNA", at positions 1244 to 1520 of the family's 1533-position model. Lineage: Bacteria; Bacillati; Bacillota; Bacilli; Caryophanales; Bacillaceae. The record is from RNAcentral.
GGGCAGCGAAGCCGCGAGGCUAAGCCAAUCCCACAAAUCUGUUCUCAGUUCGGAUCGCAGUCUGCAACUCGACUGCGUGAAGCUGGAAUCGCUAGUAAUCGCGGAUCAGCAUGCCGCGGUGAAUACGUUCCCGGGCCUUGUACACACCGCCCGUCACACCACGAGAGUUUGUAACACCCGAAGUCGGUGAGGUAACCUUUUGGAGCCAGCCGCCGAAGGUGGGACAGAUGAUUGGGGUGAAGUCGUAACAAGGUAGCCGUAUCGGAAGGUGCGGUUG